Molecule: ribosomal RNA, 408 nt
Filed under: uncultured bacterium
Lineage: Bacteria
Description: partial 16S ribosomal RNA
Rfam family: Bacterial small subunit ribosomal RNA
Source: RNAcentral
GACGAACGCUGGCGGCGUGCUUAACACAUGCAAGUCGAACGAAGUGGCGAACGGGUGAGUAACGCGUAAUCAACCUCCCCUUCAGAGGGGGACAACAGUUGGAAACGAAUGCUAAUACCCAAUACUGAAGGAGGGGAUUGCGUCUGAUUAGCUAGUUGGGGGGGUAACGGCCCACCAAGGCGAUGAUCAGUAGCCGGGCUGGAGAGGUUGACGGCCACAAUUGGACUGAGGCACGGCCCAGACUCCUACGGUAGGCAGCAGGGGGGAAACAUCCGCAAAGGACGGAAGUCUGACGGAGCAAAGCCGGCGGAGUGAUGACGGCCUUCGGGUUGUAAAGCUCUGUUAAUCGGGACGCGGUACCGGAAGAGAAAGCCACGGCUAACUACGUGCCAGCCGCCGCGGUAAUAC